AGUGAACGCUGGCGGUAGGCCUAACACAUGCAAGUCGAACGGCAGCACAGUAAGAGCUUGCUCUUACGGGUGGCGAGUGGCGGACGGGUGAGGAAUACAUCGGAAUCUACUUUUUCGUGGGGGAUAACGUAGGGAAACUUACGCUAAUACCGCAUACGACCUACGGGUGAAAGCAGGGGAUCUUCGGACCUUGCGCGAUUGAAUGAGCCGAUGUCGGAUUAGCUAGUUGGCGGGGUAAAGGCCCGCCAAGGCGACGAUCCGUAGCUGGUCUGAGAGGAUGAUCAGCCACCCUGGAACUGAGACACGGUCCAGACUCCUACGGGAGGCAGCAGUGGGGAAUAUUGGACAAUGGGCGCAAGCCUGAUCCAGCCAUACCGCGUGGGUGAAGAAGGCCUUCGGGUUGUAAAGCCCUUUUGUUGGGAAAGAAAAGCAGCAGGUUAAUACCCCGCUGUUCUGACGGUACCCAAAGAAUAAGCACCGGCUAACUUCGUG
RNAcentral lists this ribosomal RNA (492 nucleotides) under uncultured bacterium. Its description in RNAcentral is "partial 16S ribosomal RNA". It matches the Rfam family "Bacterial small subunit ribosomal RNA", at positions 29 to 507 of the family's 1533-position model. The record is from RNAcentral.